CUACGUGCCAGCAGCCGCGGUAAUACGGAGGGUGCGAGCGUUAAUCGGAAUAACUGGGCGUAAAGGGCACGCAGGCGGUUAUUUAAGUGAGGUGUGAAAGCCCCGGGCUUAACCUGGGAAUUGCAUUUCAGACUGGGUAACUAGAGUACUUUAGGGAGGGGUAGAAUUCCACGUGUAGCGGUGAAAUGCGUAGAGAUGUGGAGGAAUACCGAAGGCGAAGGCAGCCCCUUGGGAAUGUACUGACGCUCAUGUGCGAAAGCGUGGGGAGCAAACAGGAUUAGAUACCCUGGUAGUCCACGCUGUAAACGCUGUCGAUUUGGGGAUUGGGCUUAAAGCUUGGUGCCCGUAGCUAACGUGAUAAAUCGACCGCCUGGGGAGUACGGCCGCAAGGUUAAAACUCAAAUGAAUUGACGGGGGCCCGCACAAGCGGUGGAGCAUGUGGUUUAAUUCGAUGCAACGCGAAGAACCUUACCUACUCUUGAC
RNAcentral lists this ribosomal RNA (483 nucleotides) under uncultured bacterium. Its description in RNAcentral is "bacterial SSU rRNA". It matches the Rfam family "Bacterial small subunit ribosomal RNA", at positions 501 to 985 of the family's 1533-position model. The record is from RNAcentral.